UACAGAGGGUGCGAGCGUUAAUCGGAAUUACUGGGCGUAAAGCGUGCGCAGGCGGUUUUGUAAGUCUGUCGUGAAAUCCCCGGGCUCAACCUGGGAAUUGCGAUGGAGACUGCAAGGCUAGAAUCUGGCAGAGGGGGGUAGAAUUCCACGUGUAGCAGUGAAAUGCGUAGAGAUGUGGAGGAACACCGAUGGCGAAGGCAGCCCCCUGGGUCAAGAUUGACGCUCAUGCACGAAAGCGUGGGGAGCAAACAG
RNAcentral lists this ribosomal RNA (252 nucleotides) under uncultured bacterium. Its description in RNAcentral is "partial 16S ribosomal RNA". It matches the Rfam family "Bacterial small subunit ribosomal RNA", at positions 524 to 775 of the family's 1533-position model. The record is from RNAcentral.